This 766-nucleotide long non-coding RNA is filed under the name Oryza sativa (Asian cultivated rice). RNAcentral's name for it is "long non-coding RNA (OSAT_LNC001638)". The record is from RNAcentral. Lineage: Eukaryota; Viridiplantae; Streptophyta; Magnoliopsida; Poales; Poaceae.
UAAAGGCGAGAUAUGGGGGAGCAUACAUAUUCACAAUGACAACAUCUCCAGACCAAGAACAAGAGGUUGAACGGCUAGUUCAUGACUUGUCUCCGAGCGCAAAUAAGAUCUACCACCUAUCUGGAACUCAAAAGUUCGAGCUGCCAAAGCAAGAGGUGAAAAUAGCCGAGGUAUUUCGCGCAGUUGAGGAUGCGAAGAAACGGUUCACCGUGCAUGCCUGGGGCCUGGUUGAUACCACCUUGGAGGAUGUCUUCAUAAAGGUUGCCAAGGGAGCAAAGGCAUCCAGUGUUAAUAGUUAGUUUGUGCAUUGAUAAUAUUGUGAGAUUUAUAGGCCGACUAAUAUUCUUUUAUGUCUUGACUUUAGCAUAUAUGAUUCUUUAAAGUUCGAGCUGCCAAAGCAAGAGGUGAAAAUAGCCGAGGUAUUUCGCGCAGUUGAGGAUGCGAAGAAACGGUUCACCGUGCAUGCCUGGGGCCUGGUUGAUACCACCUUGGAGGAUGUCUUCAUAAAGGUUGCCAAGGGAGCAAAGGCAUCCAGUGAUAAUAGUUAGUUUGUGCAUUGAUAAUAUUGUGAGAUUUAUAGGCCGACUAAUAUUCUUUUAUGUCUUGACUUUAGCAUAUAUGAUUCUUUUGUGGUUGUACAGAAACAUAUUAUUCUCAUACAUCAGAAAAAAAAGUAACCAUAUGUAACAUUUUUGUUUAUUUUAAAUGUACAAAUGACUCAAUAUAUCAUUGCAGAUAUGCGGGAAUUACAAAAUAUAAGCAUCCA